Non-coding RNA from Caenorhabditis elegans, 129 nucleotides. NCBI's taxonomy places the organism in Eukaryota, Metazoa, Nematoda, Chromadorea, Rhabditida, Rhabditidae. The record is from Ensembl.
ACAAAAAUGGCAUAUCCCACAAAAUUGCGGCCAACGCGGCACAGGAGAGAGGGAGGUUUGUCUUUGUGCAAUAGAGCGCGCUUGCUACCGUCCCCUCCACUGACAGAGCAAAUUCAAAUAGCGAUACAC